This 93-nucleotide transfer RNA is filed under the name Streptomyces albogriseolus. Its description in RNAcentral is "tRNA-Arg". Lineage: Bacteria; Bacillati; Actinomycetota; Actinomycetes; Kitasatosporales; Streptomycetaceae. The record is from RNAcentral.
CGGGCACAGCUCGGCGGCGGUGCGGGCGUGCUUCGGGCACACGGGUGGCUGGUUGGUGAGCACCGGCUCGUUGUUCGGUUCGACGGUGCUCGG